Molecule: ribosomal RNA, 460 nt
Filed under: uncultured bacterium
Lineage: Bacteria
Description: partial 16S ribosomal RNA
Rfam family: Bacterial small subunit ribosomal RNA
Source: RNAcentral
CCUACGUGAGGCAGCAGUGAGGAAUAUUGGUCAAUGGGCGCGAGCCUGAACCAGCCAAGUAGCGUGAAGGAUGACUGCCCUACGGGUUGUAAACUUCUUUUAUAAAGGAAUAAAGUGAGGCACUUGUGCCUUUUUGUAUGUACUUUAUGAAUACGGAUCGACUAACUCCGUGCCAGCAGCCGCGGUAAUACGGAGGAUCCGAGCGUUAUCCGGAUUUAUUGGGUUUAAAGGGAGCGUAGAUGGGUUGUUAAGUCAGUUGUGAAAGUUUGCGGCUCAACCGUAAAAUUGCAAUUGAUACUGGCAGUCUUGAGUACAGUUGAGGUAGGCGGAAUUCGUGGUGUAGCGGUGAAAUGCUUAGAUAUCACGAAGAACUCCGAUUGCGAAGGCAGCUUACUAAACUGCCACUGACAUUGAUGCUCGAAAGUGUGGGUAUCAAACAGGAUUAGAUACCCUAGUAGUC